CGGUAACAGGAAGCAGCUUGCUGCUUCGCUGACGAGUGGCGGACGGGUGAGUAAUGUCUGGGAAGCUGCCUGAUGGAGGGGGAUAACUACUGGAAACGGUGGCUAAUACCGCAUAACGUCGCAAGACCAAAGAGGGGGACCUUCGGGCCUCUUGCCAUCAGAUGUGCCCAGAUGGGAUUAGCUUGUUGGUGAGGUAACGGCUCACCAAGGCGACGAUCCCUAGCUGGUCUGAGAGGAUGACCAGCCACACUGGAACUGAGACACGGUCCAGACUCCUACGGGAGGCAGCAGUGGGGAAUAUUGCACAAUGGGCGCAAGCCUGAUGCAGCCAUGCCGCGUGUAUGAAGAAGGCCUUCGGGUUGUAAAGUACUUUCAGCGGGGAGGAAGGUGUUGUGGUUAAUAACCGCAGCAAUUGACGUUACCCGCAGAAGAAGCACCGGCUAACUCCGUGCCAGCAGCCGCGGUAAUACGGAGGGUGCAAGCGUUAAUCGGAAUUACUGGGCGUAAAGCGCACGCAGGCGGUCUGUCAAGUCGGAUGUGAAAUCCCCGGGCUCAACCUGGGAACUGCAUUCGAAACUGGCAGGCUUGAGUCUUGUAGAGGGGGGUAGAAUUCCAGGUGUAGCGGUGAAAUGCGUAGAGAUCUGGAGGAAUACCGGUGGCGAAGGCGGCCCCCUGGACAAAGACUGACGCUCAGGUGCGAAAGCGUGGGGAGCAAACAGGAUUAGAUACCCUGGUAGUCCACGCCGUAAACGAUGUCUACUUGGAGGUUGUGCCCUUGAGGCGUGGCUUCCGGAGCUAACGCGUUAAGUAGACCGCCUGGGGAGUACGGCCGCAAGGUUAAAACUCAAAUGAAUUGACGGGGGCCCGCACAAGCGGUGGAGCAUGUGGUUUAAUUCGAUGCAACGCGAAGAACCUUACCUGGUCUUGACAUCCACGGAAGUUUUCAGAGAUGAGAAUGUGCCUUCGGGAACCGUGAGACAGGUGCU
RNAcentral lists this ribosomal RNA (986 nucleotides) under Salmonella enterica subsp. enterica serovar Bredeney. Its description in RNAcentral is "bacterial SSU rRNA". It matches the Rfam family "Bacterial small subunit ribosomal RNA", at positions 67 to 1042 of the family's 1533-position model. The record is from RNAcentral. Lineage: Bacteria; Pseudomonadati; Pseudomonadota; Gammaproteobacteria; Enterobacterales; Enterobacteriaceae.